RNAcentral lists this ribosomal RNA (459 nucleotides) under uncultured bacterium. Its description in RNAcentral is "partial 16S ribosomal RNA". It matches the Rfam family "Bacterial small subunit ribosomal RNA", at positions 338 to 795 of the family's 1533-position model. The record is from RNAcentral.
CCUACGGGUGGCAGCAGUGAGGAAUAUUGGUCAAUGGGCGAGAGCCUGAACCAGCCAAGUCGCGUGAAGGAUGACGGCCCUACGGGUUGUAAACUUCUUUUGUCAGGGAGCAAAAGACGCCACGCGUGGCGUUCCGAGAGUACCCGAAGAAAAAGCAUCGGCUAACUCCGUGCCAGCAGCCGCGGUAAUACGGAGGAUGCGAGCGUUAUCCGGAUUUAUUGGGUUUAAAGGGUGCGCAGGCGGAAGAUCAAGUCAGCGGUAAAAUUGAGAGGCUCAACCUCUUCGAGCCGUUGAAACUGGUGUUCUUGAGUGAGUGAGAAGUAUGCGGAAUGCGUGGUGUAGCGGUGAAAUGCAUAGAUAUCACGCAGAACUCCGAUUGCGAAGGCAGCAUACCGGCGCUCAACUGACGCUCAUGCACGAAAGUGUGGGUAUCGAACAGGAUUAGAUACCCUAGUAGUC